This is a long non-coding RNA of Diceros bicornis minor, 266 nucleotides long. RefSeq lists it as uncharacterized. The record is from RefSeq and is a predicted model, not a curated record. Lineage: Eukaryota; Metazoa; Chordata; Mammalia; Perissodactyla; Rhinocerotidae. The transcript is spliced from 3 exons.
AGUGGGAAAAGCUUAGUCUUACUUUGUGCUGCUUUAGCGUGGCAACAGUCUCUUCUUCGUGGGAAGCCAGCAGAUGAAAGCUUAAGCAAAAAAGCUGAAGUACCAUUGUCACGUGGUUGUACGUGCCAUUCAAAGAAUUUUACAAACGAUGGCGAGGACCGAGGAACUUCACGUCAUUUCAACAGUCCAAGUACACCACCUUCUGAAAGAAAUGGCACUUCAUCAACUUGUCAAGAGGUUGUUUCUGACAGCGUAUCCGGUGUGAU